GGCUCGCACACCAGAUCCCCUGCUCUGCCGCCGUCUCACCGCGGAUCCUCCGACCAACGAGGUCUCUCCGCUCCCCGACCACCCCGGCCAUCGACGUGAUCUCGCAGCUCCACCUCACGAGCCCGCUCUAUCCGCCUCGCACCUCCAGCUCCGACACACAUCGGUGGACCGCAGCGCCAUCGUUCCUCACUCGAGCCUCCCCGCCGAGCAGCAUGGCUACCAUCCACUCCACCAACGCUACCCCGCCUGAUUCUGCCGAGUUUUCUCAGUCGCUAGGCUAUCCCAUCUACUGAAUCGGCUCCAUCCCCAUUGAUUUGGAUCGGCCAGCCGGAGUAUUGGCCUUUGGAUUUCUAAAUUGCGGCCCUAUUUUGAAGCUCCCCAAUCCUGAAUCAAAGGUGACACUCAACAAUGACUAAAAAGGAGUCAAUCAUGCUACAGAGUUGAUAUUCAGCUGAUUUCUCUACAACCUGGUGUGUUGUAAUUAUGUCGACUGCAAUAUAGCGGAGAUCGUGAUUGCCUUGUUGAUGAUGACAAGCUCACAGUGCAUGUGAGAUGGUCCGUUCAACGUCCUCUGUGAUGCUGGCUAGAGGGAUG
Molecule: long non-coding RNA, 594 nt
Organism: Triticum dicoccoides
Lineage: Eukaryota; Viridiplantae; Streptophyta; Magnoliopsida; Poales; Poaceae
Exons: 3
Source: RefSeq, a predicted model, not a curated record